UGAUUGUCCAAACGCAAUUCUUG
RNAcentral lists this non-coding RNA (23 nucleotides) under Owenia fusiformis. The record is from RNAcentral. RNAcentral also lists the same sequence under 101 other names. Lineage: Eukaryota; Metazoa; Annelida; Polychaeta; Sabellida; Oweniidae.